AGGACGAACGCUGGCGGCGUGCUUAACACAUGCAAGUCGAGCGAUGAAGCUUCUCGGAAGUGGAUUAGCGGCGGACGGGUGAGUAACACGUGGGUAACCUGCCUCAUAGAGGGGAAUAGCCUUUCGAAAGGAAGAUUAAUACCGCAUAAGAUUGUAGUACCGCAUGGUACAGCAAUUAAAGGAGUAAUCCGCUAUGAGAUGGACCCGCGUCGCAUUAGCUAGUUGGUGAGGUAACGGCUCACCAAGGCGACGAUGCGUAGCCGACCUGAGAGGGUGAUCGGCCACAUUGGGACUGAGACACGGCCCAGACUCCUACGGGAGGCAGCAGUGGGGAAUAUUGCACAAUGGGGGAAACCCUGAUGCCAGCAACGCCGCGUGAGUGAUGACGGCCUUCGGGUUGUAAAACUCUGUCUUUGGGGACGAUAAUGACGGUACCCAAGGAGGAAGCCACGGCUAACUACGUGCCAGCAGCAGC
Molecule: ribosomal RNA, 475 nt
Filed under: uncultured bacterium
Lineage: Bacteria
Description: bacterial SSU rRNA
Rfam family: Bacterial small subunit ribosomal RNA
Source: RNAcentral